GCUCCUGUAGCUCAGUGGUAGAGCGUCAAACUGGUGUGUGGAAGAUCAUAGGUUUGACUCCUGUUGGGAGAA
Molecule: non-coding RNA, 72 nt
Organism: Desmophyllum pertusum
Lineage: Eukaryota; Metazoa; Cnidaria; Anthozoa; Scleractinia; Caryophylliidae
Source: the annotation of a GenBank genome assembly